UGUACCCCAUCUCAGUCGGUAGAGCCUGAGGCUCUUCAUCUCAAGGUUGUGGGUUCGAGCCCACAUUGGGCAAAA
Molecule: non-coding RNA, 75 nt
Organism: Podarcis lilfordi (Lilford's wall lizard)
Lineage: Eukaryota; Metazoa; Chordata; Lepidosauria; Squamata; Lacertidae
Source: the annotation of a GenBank genome assembly